Molecule: ribosomal RNA, 253 nt
Filed under: uncultured bacterium
Lineage: Bacteria
Description: partial 16S ribosomal RNA
Rfam family: Bacterial small subunit ribosomal RNA
Source: RNAcentral
UACAGGGGGGGCAAGCGUUGUUCGGAAUUACUGGGCGUAAAGGGCUCGUAGGCGGCCAACUAAGUCACACGUGAAAUCCCCGGGCUUAACCUGGGAACUGCAUUUGUGACUGCAUAGCUAGAGUACGGUAGAGGGGGAUGGAAUUCCGCGUGUAGCAGUGAAAUGCGUAGAUAUGCGGAGGAACACCGAUGGCGAAGGCAAUCCCCUGGACCUGUACUGACGCUCAUGCACGAAAGCGUGGGGAGCAAACAGG